This 585-nucleotide ribosomal RNA is filed under the name Glomeromycetes sp. GM 14-12. RNAcentral's name for it is "eukaryotic LSU rRNA". The stretch from base 183 to 335 matches the Rfam family "5.8S ribosomal RNA". The record is from RNAcentral. Lineage: Eukaryota; Fungi; Glomeromycota; Glomeromycetes.
CUUGGUCAUUUAGAGGAAGUAAAAGUCGUAACAAGGUUUCCGUAGGUGAACCUGCGGAAGGAUCAUUACCAAUCUUUUAGCGAGCCUUGGGCUUUGUCCAUGGUCUUGCAAACUCUGUAUUUAAAACCCGCUCAUAAAUUUAAAACAUAAACUUUUGUUAUUAUUAUUAUUAUAAUAAAGAUCACUUUCAACAACGGAUCUCUUGGCUCUCGCAUCGAUGAAGAACGUAGCGAAGUGCGAUAAGUAUUGUGAAUUGCAGAAUCCGUGAAUCAUCGAAUUUUUGAACGCAAAUUGCACUCUCUGGUAUUCCGGAGAGUAUGCCUGUUUGAGGGUUGGUUUAAAUAACAAUCGAUAUGUUGCUUUGUGACAUUUCGGAGUUGGGUCAUCUUAAUCUUAACUUUAAGGGACCUAAAAUUGAUGUUCUUGCGCAUCUUGACGUGUAUAAUUUUUUUUAUCUCGUCACCGGAUGCCAGGUAUUAUUAGGUGUGACUAUGCUAAGUGGUUUCAUGCCUAUAGGAUUCUUGAUUUCAACCUCAAAUCAGGUAAGGAUACCCGCUGAACUUAAGCAUAUCAAUAAGCGGAGGA